Molecule: ribosomal RNA, 253 nt
Filed under: uncultured bacterium
Lineage: Bacteria
Description: partial 16S ribosomal RNA
Rfam family: Bacterial small subunit ribosomal RNA
Source: RNAcentral
UACGUAGGUGGCAAGCGUUGUCCGGAUUUACUGGGCGUAAAGAGCGCGCAGGCGGUCGUUCAAGUCGCGUGUGAGAGCCCCCGGCUCAACUGGGGAGGGUCACGCGAUACUGAUCGACUCGAAGGCAGGAGAGGGUAGUGGAAUCCCCGGUGUAGUGGUGAAAUGCGUAGAUAUCGGGAGGAACACCAGUGGCGAAGGCGACUACCUGGCCUGUUCUUGACGCUGAGGCGCGAAAGCUAGGGGAGCAAACGGG